This 484-nucleotide ribosomal RNA is filed under the name uncultured bacterium. RNAcentral describes it as "partial 16S ribosomal RNA". It matches the Rfam family "Bacterial small subunit ribosomal RNA", at positions 29 to 507 of the family's 1533-position model. The record is from RNAcentral.
AUUGAACGCUGGCGGCAUGCUUGACACAUGCAAGUCGAACGGCAGCGCGGGCUUCGGCCUGGCGGCGAGUGGCGAACGGGUGAGUAAUACAUCGGAACGUGCCCAGUAGGGGGGGAUAGCUCGGCGAAAGCCGGAUUAAUACCGCAUACGACCUGAGGGUGAAAGCGGGGGAUCUUCGGACCUCGCGCUUUUGGAGCGGCCGAUGGCAGAUUAGCUAGUUGGUGGGGUAAAGGCCUACCAAGGCGACGAUCUGUAGCGGGUCUGAGAGGACGACCAGCCACACUGGGACUGAGACACGGCCCAGACUCCUACGGGAGGCAGCAGUGGGGAAUUUUGGACAAUGGGCGAAAGCCUGAUCCAGCAAUGCCGCGUGUGUGAUGAAGGCCUUCGGGUUGUAAAGCACUUUUGGCGGGAACGAAAAGGACUGUGCCAAUACCACGGUUCGAUGACGGUACCCGCAGAAUAAGCACCGGCUAACUACGUG